GGCUUGUUGGUUCAAAUUGGAAAAGAAGCAAUUCCUCCUGAUGUUGUUCCUACGAUUUUGGCUUCUCGAGAUCGCAGAGAGCUUGCGAAGUAUGCUUCGGGAGUUCCUCCACAGGGGCUCUGUCUUGUGAGUGUUAAUUAUAAAGAGGACCAUUUAAAGCUUCCAUCUGAUUGCCCUGGGACUAGUUGUGGUAGGAGUCGUAGUGUGAGCAAAUGUAAACUCCCUUUUU
Molecule: unclassified non-coding RNA, 229 nt
Filed under: Hevea brasiliensis (rubber tree)
Lineage: Eukaryota; Viridiplantae; Streptophyta; Magnoliopsida; Malpighiales; Euphorbiaceae
Source: RNAcentral